UGGGCCGUCGCCAAGUGGAAAGGCAGCGGGUUUUGGUCCCGCCAUUCCUAGGUUCGAAUCCUAGCGGCCCAG
This 72-nucleotide transfer RNA is filed under the name Aphanocapsa feldmannii 277cV. RNAcentral describes it as "tRNA-Gln". It matches the Rfam family "tRNA". Rfam says of the family: Transfer RNA (tRNA) molecules are approximately 80 nucleotides in length. Lineage: Bacteria; Bacillati; Cyanobacteriota; Cyanophyceae; Chroococcales; Microcystaceae. The record is from RNAcentral. RNAcentral also lists the same sequence under 2 other names.